GAUGAACGCUAGCGGCAGGCCUAACACAUGCAAGUCGAGGGAGAGGUUACCUUCGAGUAACCAAAACCGGCGCACGGGUGCGUAACGCGUAUACAAUCUGCCUUUCACAUAGGGAUAGCCCGAAGAAAUUUGGAUUAAUACCUAAUGGUAUAUAAGAGCGGCAUCGUUUUUAUAUUAAAGCUACGGUGGUGAAAGAUGAGUAUGCGUUCUAUUAGCUAGUUGGAGAGGUAACGGCUCCCCAAGGCGACGAUAGAUAGGGGUUCUGAGAGGGAUGUCCCCCACACUGGUACUGAGAUACGGACCAGACUCCUACGGGAGGCAGCAGUGAGGAAUAUUGGACAAUGGUCGGAAGACUGAUCCAGCCAUGCCGCGUGCAGGAUGAAGGUCCUAUGGAUUGUAAACUGCUUUUGUAAGGGAAGAAUAAGGAGUACGUGUACUUUGAUGACGGUACCUUACGAAUAAGCAUCGGCUAACUCCGUGCCAGCAGCCGCGGUAAUACGGAGGAUGCGAGCGUUAUCCGGAAUCAUUGGGUUUAAAGGGUCCGUAGGCGGGCUGAUAAGUCAGAGGUGAAAGCGCUUAGCUCAACUAAGCAACUGCCUUUGAAACUGUCAGUCUUGAAUGAUUGUGAAGUAGUUGGAAUGUGUAGUGUAGCGGUGAAAUGCUUAGAUAUUACACAGAACACCGAUAGCGAAGGCAUAUUACUAACAAUUUAUUGACGCUGAUGGACGAAAGCGUGGGGAGCGAACAGG
This 749-nucleotide ribosomal RNA is filed under the name uncultured Capnocytophaga sp. RNAcentral's name for it is "bacterial SSU rRNA". It matches the Rfam family "Bacterial small subunit ribosomal RNA", at positions 28 to 776 of the family's 1533-position model. Lineage: Bacteria; Pseudomonadati; Bacteroidota; Flavobacteriia; Flavobacteriales; Flavobacteriaceae. The record is from RNAcentral.